This 607-nucleotide ribosomal RNA is filed under the name uncultured bacterium. RNAcentral describes it as "bacterial SSU rRNA". It matches the Rfam family "Bacterial small subunit ribosomal RNA", at positions 138 to 776 of the family's 1533-position model. The record is from RNAcentral.
CAGGGAUAGCCCAGGGAAACCUGGAUUAAUACCUGAUGUGGUCCUUCGGGAUCAAAGGCUUGCUGCCUCGGGAGCGGAGAACGUCCUAUCAGGUUGUUGGUGGGGUAACGGCUCACCAAGCCGAAGACGGGUAGCGGGUGUGAGAGCAUGACCCGCCGCAUCGGGACUGAGACACUGCCCGGACUCCUACGGGAGGCUGCAGUAACGAAUCUUCCGCAAUGCGCGAAAGCGUGACGGAGCAAUGCCGCGUGCAGGAUGAAGCCCCUCGGGGUGUAAACUGCUGUCAGGGUUUAGGAACACAAUGACCAGACCCAAAGGAAGGGCCGGCUAACUUCGUGCCAGCAGCCGCGGUAAUACGAAGGGCCCGAGCGUUAAUCAGAAUCAUUGGGCUUAAAGCGUACGUAGGCGGGUGCGCAGGCACCUUGUGAAAUCCCUCGGCUCAACCGAGGAAUUGCUUGGUGAACCGCGUGCCUUGAGACAAGUAGGGGCUGUCGGAACGAUAGGUGGAGCGGUGAAAUGCGUUGAUAUCUAUCGGAACGCCGAAGGAGGAAUCAGGCAGCUGGGCUUGUUCCGACGCUGAGGUACGAAAGCGUGGGGAGCGAACGGG